GUUCCGUCGCUGAUAGCGCCGAUCGCAGAUAGUGGUGCUCUCUUUCUCUCUUCACAGCAGUCUUGGUGAGCCCCCAUUUCUCCAGGGGGUUUUGUAGUUUUUCUUUUGUACAAAUUUUCAUAUUUUGAGGUAUAGCCGGGGCCUUGUUGCCGGCAUUAUCAUUUUGGUCUUUUGUAUCCUUAGAGGCUCCGUAGACGUUUAUGUGGGUCAUGUAUGGGUGCCG
This 223-nucleotide long non-coding RNA is filed under the name Nicotiana benthamiana. RNAcentral describes it as "long non-coding RNA (NBEN_LNC000684)". The record is from RNAcentral. Lineage: Eukaryota; Viridiplantae; Streptophyta; Magnoliopsida; Solanales; Solanaceae.